Molecule: non-coding RNA, 22 nt
Filed under: Arabidopsis thaliana (thale cress)
Lineage: Eukaryota; Viridiplantae; Streptophyta; Magnoliopsida; Brassicales; Brassicaceae
Source: RNAcentral
AGGGAAACCAGAGUGUUUCAGG